Molecule: ribosomal RNA, 429 nt
Filed under: Theileria equi
Lineage: Eukaryota; Apicomplexa; Aconoidasida; Piroplasmida; Theileriidae
Description: SSU rRNA
Rfam family: Eukaryotic small subunit ribosomal RNA
Source: RNAcentral
AGUCUGGUGCCAGCAGCCGCGGUAAUUCCAGCUCCAAUAGCGUAUAUUAAACUUGUUGAGUUAAAAAGCUCGUAGUUGAAUUUCUGCUGUAUCGUUUUCCUCUGCUUGACAGUUGGAUUUCGUUAUGGCUUAGUUGGGUUACAGUUUCUGUUACCUGACGUUUACUUUGAGAAAAUUAGAGUGCUUCAAGCAGGCUUUUGCCUUGAAUACUUUAGCAUGGAAUAAUGGAGUAGGACUUUGGUUCUAUUUUGUUGGUUUUAGGAGCCAGAGUAAUGGUUAAUAGGAACAGUUGGGGGCAUUCGUAUUUGACUGUCAGAGGUGAAAUUCUUAGAUUUGUCAAAGACGAACUACUGCGAAAGCAUUUGCCAAGGAUGUUUUCAUUAAUCAAGAACGAAAGUUAGGGGAUCGAAGACGAUCAGAUACCGUCGU